Molecule: ribosomal RNA, 599 nt
Filed under: Brevundimonas bullata
Lineage: Bacteria; Pseudomonadati; Pseudomonadota; Alphaproteobacteria; Caulobacterales; Caulobacteraceae
Description: bacterial SSU rRNA
Rfam family: Bacterial small subunit ribosomal RNA
Source: RNAcentral
GGCGAACGGGUGAGUAACACGUGGGUGAUCUGCCCUGCACUCUGGGAUAAGCUUGGGAAACUGGGUCUAAUACCGGAUAUGACUACAGCAUGCAUGUGUUGUGGUGGAAAGAUUUAUCGGUGCAGGAUGGGCCCGCGGCCUAUCAGCUUGUUGGUGGGGUAAUGGCCUACCAAGGCGACGACGGGUAGCCGACCUGAGAGGGUGACCGGCCACACUGGGACUGAGACACGGCCCAGACUCCUACGGGAGGCAGCAGUGGGGAAUAUUGCACAAUGGGCGGAAGCCUGAUGCAGCGACGCCGCGUGAGGGAUGAAGGCCUUCGGGUUGUAAACCUCUUUCAGCAGGGACGAAGCGUGAGUGACGGUACCUGCAGAAGAAGCACCGGCUAACUACGUGCCAGCAGCCGCGGUAAUACGUAGGGUGCGAGCGUUGUCCGGAAUUACUGGGCGUAAAGAGUUCGUAGGCGGUUUGUCGCGUCGUUUGUGAAAACCCGGGGCUCAACUUCGGGCUUGCAGGCGAUACGGGCAGACUUGAGUGUUUCAGGGGAGACUGGAAUUCCUGGUGUAGCGGUGAAAUGCGCAGAUAUCAGGAGGAACACC